Molecule: long non-coding RNA, 1967 nt
Filed under: Anas platyrhynchos platyrhynchos (common mallard)
Lineage: Eukaryota; Metazoa; Chordata; Aves; Anseriformes; Anatidae
Description: lncRNA (ENSAPLG00000027267.1)
Source: RNAcentral
CUGAGCUUUGUAAGCCAACUGCAGUAAUCUGUAUUUGCCAUGGUUUUGGGAAGAGCGUAGAUUGUUAGCCAAAUUGCCUUGGGAGGUUAGGGAGGAUGAACAUCAAGAGCAGGUGGAUUUAGGCCAGACAGCUCUGCAGGAUUUUGUUGAAUGAGCUUUGAUCUAUGUAGCACCUGUGCCAGGCUUGUAAAACAGGUAUCAACUAGUGGAGGGAACAGAGUUUCCAAGCCAGGAUGAAGAGAAGUAUUUUAGGUGUUUUCUAGUUGUGCGGCAGUGCUUACUACAGAGCUGCAGCACAAGAGCUCUCCUGGUUUCUGUAGGCAUGACUGGCCAGAUUUAGGAAGACUGGAACUUCCUAAAAUGUUGGGAAUUGAUGGGUCCAUUGCGUGUGGCAGCUCAUACAGACACCUCCCUGCAGGAGGAUUUCCCUGGGUGUAUUCCCCAGACAUCUGCUGGGUAAGCAACUCUGCCAGACACAAGCAGUCCAAACGGUUCCUACAAUGCGUUGAGGACAAUUUUCUGAUCCAGGUGGUGGAGGAGCCAAUGAGGUGGGGGGUGCUCCUGGACCUUGUUCUUACCAACAGGGAUGGCCUUGUUAGGGAUGUGAAGGUUGGGGGCAGCUUGGGAUGCAGUGACCAUGCUUUGUCUGCUCUCCCCUUCAUUUAAACAAGAUAACUUCACGAGUGGCCAGCCAAAGUUAGGAACCACAGUCAGCAAAGAUGGUUUGAAAUGCUAAAGGCCAUUGAAGCCCAACUCCAAAUCUCUCUCGUUGUUCUUAUUCCCCCAAUAUUCUCCCUGCAUUUUCAUAAAGGCUAAGAAGGCUCUACGAAACCCAGGAAGCAAUACAAUCUACUGACAGUAACAAAGUAAGCAAACAAACAAAAGUCCAGUCAGUCCAACACUGCAGGCUGAAGCUCAGUCUGAGAUACAAGCUAUGUCAUGAUGUACCUGUUUCAUUGGCAGGGCACGAUGGAGUCACCUGCCGUGACCCCACAGAAGGGCUCUCUCCAGCUCCUAGUGAAGAAACGGGAGUCCGCCAGUGCCACAAAACCCAGCUUGGUGCACCAGCACCCACCAGCGCCACGGUCGCGGGCACGAAAGAAACGCAUCCGUGUCAGAUCUGUGGAAAUACUCUGGGCAGAGGGUCGGAUCAUGGAAACGAUCGAGGAGGAGCCCCUGGGCAGCACUGGUGAGAUUGAAACCUUCCCCAUUGCUUACGAGGAGCUUCAGAGCCACUUCGAGAGCCUGGGUGGCAGGAAGGGAGCAGAAAGUGAGAUGCGCUCACUGUCACCAGCUCGGACUAGCAAGCCUGAGAGCAAUCCAGGUGUAGUGGAGUCCGGCGUUAAAAGGAGGAGGGCAGUCUUUGAGAUGCUCUCAGAAAAUGGACAACACAGCGAUGCCAAAGGUUAGUCUUACCACUUGGAUCUGCUUUCUCACUCUACUUGAGUGCACUCGAUCUCUGUUGUGACGAGGGGCAACCACAUUCGUGCCCUCAGGGCAGCCCCCCGGCUGCCCAGGAAAAGAACGUGGUGUUCUUAUUGAUGCCAAACAAGCUUUCCAGCUUUCUCCAUUUUAUCUUUGUGUUACGGAGGAGUGCCCAAAGCCCAUUAAACACUUUUUGAGCAAAACACAACAGAACGGUGUCCUAUGUUUAGAGAAGAAACUUAUGAUGAAGACAACCCAAAUCUAAAACUGUGAUAUCAAAAAUAUGGGCAGCAUUCAUCAAUUAUGAAAAAGCAGGAGCUUCCUAUUAUCAGUUGGUGAAGAUAGUUUGGAUUUGGAGACGUGUUGCUUUUGUAACAACACCUUAGCUUUUAAGCGUGGCUUUCAGGUUUCCACAAGUCGAAUGCUCCGUGCUUGUUGUGUUCUAAAGUAAAAGUUGCUAAAUGGCUGCUGAAAAGUUGGUGUUCCUGUUCGUUUUGCCUACUGCUUUUCUUUCAAGAUUUGAAACACGUGCACCCAUCUCC